CCUACGGGUGGCAGCAGUCGAGAAUCAUUCACAAUGGGGGAAACCCUGAUGGUGCGACGCCGCGUGGGGGAAUGAAGGUCUUCGGAUUGUAAACCCCUGUCAUGUGGGAGCAAAUUAAAAAGAUAGUACCACAAGAGGAAGAGACGGCUAACUCUGUGCCAGCAGCCGCGGUAAUACAGAGGUCUCAAGCGUUGUUCGGCAUCACUGGGCGUAAGGCGUGCGUAGGCUGUUUCGUAAGUCGUGUGUGAAAGGCGCGGGCUCAACCCGCGGACGGCACAUGAUACUGCGAGACUAGAGUAAUGGAGGGGGAACCGGAAUUCUCGGUGUAGCAGUGAAAUGCGUAGAUAUCGAGAGGAACACUCGUGGCGAAGGCGGGUUCCUGGACAUUAACUGACGCUGAGGCACGAAGGCCAGGGGAGCGAAAGGGAUUAGAUACCCCAGUAGUC
This 446-nucleotide ribosomal RNA is filed under the name uncultured bacterium. RNAcentral describes it as "partial 16S ribosomal RNA". It matches the Rfam family "Bacterial small subunit ribosomal RNA", at positions 338 to 795 of the family's 1533-position model. The record is from RNAcentral.